This 1279-nucleotide ribosomal RNA is filed under the name Citrobacter sp. CFSAN044567. RNAcentral's name for it is "bacterial LSU rRNA". It matches the Rfam family "Bacterial large subunit ribosomal RNA", at positions 1563 to 2821 of the family's 2925-position model. RNAcentral also lists the same sequence under 1 other name. Lineage: Bacteria; Pseudomonadati; Pseudomonadota; Gammaproteobacteria; Enterobacterales; Enterobacteriaceae. The record is from RNAcentral.
GUGAUGACGAGGCACUACGGUGCUGAAGUGACAAAUGCCCUGCUUCCAGGAAAAGCCUCUAAGCAUCAGGUAACACGAAAUCGUACCCCAAACCGACACAGGUGGUCAGGUAGAGAAUACCAAGGCGCUUGAGAGAACUCGGGUGAAGGAACUAGGCAAAAUGGUGCCGUAACUUCGGGAGAAGGCACGCUGAUAGGUAGGUGAAGCGGUUUACCCGUGGAGCUGAAAUCAGUCGAAGAUACCAGCUGGCUGCAACUGUUUAUUAAAAACACAGCACUGUGCAAACACGAAAGUGGACGUAUACGGUGUGACGCCUGCCCGGUGCCGGAAGGUUAAUUGAUGGGGUUAUCCGUAAGGAGAAGCUCUUGAUCGAAGCCCCGGUAAACGGCGGCCGUAACUAUAACGGUCCUAAGGUAGCGAAAUUCCUUGUCGGGUAAGUUCCGACCUGCACGAAUGGCGUAAUGAUGGCCAGGCUGUCUCCACCCGAGACUCAGUGAAAUUGAACUCGCUGUGAAGAUGCAGUGUACCCGCGGCAAGACGGAAAGACCCCGUGAACCUUUACUAUAGCUUGACACUGAACACUGGUCCUUGAUGUGUAGGAUAGGUGGGAGGCUUUGAAGUGUGGACGCCAGUCUGCAUGGAGCCGUCCUUGAAAUACCACCCUUUAAUGGCUGGUGUUCUAACGUGGGCCCGUAAUCCGGGUUGCGGACAGUGUCUGGUGGGUAGUUUGACUGGGGCGGUCUCCUCCCAAAGAGUAACGGAGGAGCACGAAGGUUAGCUAAUCCUGGUCGGACAUCAGGAGGUUAGUGCAAAGGCAUAAGCUAGCUUGACUGCGAGAGUGACGGCUCGAGCAGGUGCGAAAGCAGGUCUUAGUGAUCCGGUGGUUCUGAAUGGAAGGGCCAUCGCUCAACGGAUAAAAGGUACUCCGGGGAUAACAGGCUGAUACCGCCCAAGAGUUCAUAUCGACGGCGGUGUUUGGCACCUCGAUGUCGGCUCAUCACAUCCUGGGGCUGAAGUAGGUCCCAAGGGUAUGGCUGUUCGCCAUUUAAAGUGGUACGCGAGCUGGGUUUAGAACGUCGUGAGACAGUUCGGUCCCUAUCUGCCGUGGGCGCUGGAGAAUUGAGGGGGGCUGCUCCUAGUACGAGAGGACCGGAGUGGACGCAUCACUGGUGUUCGGGUUGUCAUGCCAAUGGCACUGCCCGGUAGCUAAAUGCGGAAGAGAUAAGUGCUGAAAGCAUCUAAGCACGAAACUUGCCCCGAGAUGAGUUCUCCCUGAGAC